Molecule: ribosomal RNA, 49 nt
Filed under: Cyclothyriella rubronotata
Lineage: Eukaryota; Fungi; Ascomycota; Dothideomycetes; Pleosporales; Cyclothyriellaceae
Also listed under: 7 other names
Description: partial 28S ribosomal RNA
Source: RNAcentral
CUUGACCUCGGAUCAGGUAGGGAUACCCGCUGAACUUAAGCAUAUCAAU